This is a long non-coding RNA of Magnolia sinica, 1021 nucleotides long. RefSeq lists it as uncharacterized. NCBI's taxonomy places the organism in Eukaryota, Viridiplantae, Streptophyta, Magnoliopsida, Magnoliales, Magnoliaceae. The transcript is spliced from 2 exons. The record is from RefSeq and is a predicted model, not a curated record.
ACAGAAAGAAUCGCUGGCCCCACAACUUACUUUCGACUCUCUUCUCUAAGUAGGUUAUAAAACAAUGCCCGCCCAAUCUCUACCUCUUAGUCCCGUCCUCUUCGACCUUGAGGCGCAACAUAGAAUCUUCUUUGCACAACCUAAAUCCAAAUGCCUUGACCUCUUCGAAACCAUCCUAAUAUGCUCGCUGGUAUUUUUUAGUAUAAUAGGGGCUGUGUUAUUGGCUUGCUUAUAUCACCCGCGGAUGAAUAAAUUGCCUUCAUACACCGUCUCCUCAGCUACCGUCGAUCCCUUCAACAUCUCCUCGUUGCGAUUGACCGCCGCCUGGAAUAUCUCCUUCUACAUGAAGAACUAUAACACGCGGAGAGAACUCAAACUUAACAAUGUCCAGUCAUCCAUAUACUAUGGGUCCCACCUCCUAUCACAGGUCUCCAUCCCUCCAUUGUAUGUGCACCCGUCGGGGCAUUUGACUUUCCAGGCCCACUUGGAGAGCUUGGAUGUGGACGUGGCCGAGUCCAUGGUCAGGGAAAGGCUAUUACAUGGGGCCCUGGAUUUCCGAGUUGAAUUGCUUGCUCGGGCAAAGUAUAUCAGGAUUUCGUGUGAGAACGUGACGGUUGGAUUCUCGGCUACGGAUAACGUGGGGCCGGGCGUUAUGUUGGGCCCACCUCGGAAGUGCAAAAUCUUUGUGGAUGAAAAGCCUAAGAAACGGCAAUGAAUGAUGAGGAAGCAACUAGUUGUUAAAGCUUGCCAUGGAUCCAGCACUAGUGGUCGAGAUCCUCUGUUCAUUUCUUUCUUUCUUUCUUUUGAGAAAAACCUGACAGUUUACCGCCUUUAUUAAAAAAACAUCAACAAAGAGAGCUAUUGUUGAGACAAGAAGACCCGUCCCAGUCCAACUUCCAUAGAUAAAAUGACUAAAAUGCCUAUUCAAGUUCACCUUUUUCAUUUAUGUUUAUAUUGUUGGAAUUAUGGGCUACAUAUGUCCAUCAGUCAAAGCAAUGAUUGGAUUAGAUCGUUCGCAUGA